GAGUAGCUGGUAUUACAGGCGUGUGCCACAAAGCCUGGCUAAGUUUUGUAUUUUUAGUAGAGACGGGGUUUCACCAUGUUGGCCAGGUUGGUCUCGAACUCCUGACCUCAAGUGAUCCACUCACUUUGGCCUUUCAACGUGCUGGGAUUACAGGCGAGAGUCACCGCACCCGGACGACUCUGACAUUUUUGAAGAGUCCAGAAUCCUGUUACACCUGGGAUUUAGGCACUUUCAAUCUGAAAAAAUACAUAUCCUUUCAGCACUCUGGACGGACUUGAGAACUGUCCUUACGUGACCUAAAGCUGGAGUAUUUUGAGAUUGGAGAAUUAAGAGUGUGGGCACCCUGGCUUCAAGCUCACGAGAAACCAGAAGGAAGUCACUGUGCAUAGCCAUCCCCUAAGAAGAGGGCAUUCCUGCUCUUCCUUCUCCAUGGCUAGAGGAUCUACAUGAACUAUUUAGAUUUUUUCUACCUGGGAGAUUUAACUCCUCUCUCCUAUUUAUUUAUUUAUAUAUCAGCAUGGACUUGCAGGCCAACAGAGAUUUUGAGAAACACAUUGAAGGAUCUGUUAACACUUGAUAUACCCAAUAAAAGCAGUGGUUGUGCCAGUGCUGAUCUGUCUUGAUGUGAAUGUGAACAAUGGGAACCUGAGCUGAGCAGUUAAUGCUAGGGUGACAGAAACUGGACCUCUCCCAAGACAUGUGACAGAGUAAUACAGCAGCCAACUUCUUCGCCAAAUUAAAGUUUUACAAGAUUUAACCUGUCAUCAAGACCUGGGAUUUUGGUGAAGGACAGAAUAACGGGCUCCCAGAUUCACAAGCCCCACCAAGAGGAUCACCCCAGGAACGCUUGGAGGCUGAGGAGUUCACUGAGGCUACUGCAUCUUGAGACUCAGGAUGAAGACCCAGCUUGGGGCUGUCAAAGGUUUUUUGCAUGUCUGACACCCAUGACUCCACCUGGACCUUAUGGCUCCACCCAGAAGCAAUUCAGCCCAACAGGAGGACAGCUUCAACCCAUUACGAUUUCAUCUCUGCCCCAACCACUCAGCAGCAAGCACCUGUUACCUGUCCACCCCCACCCCUUCCCCCAAACUGCCUUUGAAAAAUCCCUAACCUAUGAGCUUUGAAUAAGAUGAGUACGAACUUCAUCGCCCACGUGGCGUGGCCGGCCUCGUGUCUAUUAAAUUCUUUUUCUACUACAA
This 1199-nucleotide long non-coding RNA is filed under the name Homo sapiens (human). RNAcentral describes it as "Pvt1 oncogene". The stretch from base 202 to 331 matches the Rfam family "Pvt1 oncogene conserved region 5". Lineage: Eukaryota; Metazoa; Chordata; Mammalia; Primates; Hominidae. The record is from RNAcentral.